Molecule: long non-coding RNA, 200 nt
Filed under: Elaeis guineensis (African oil palm)
Lineage: Eukaryota; Viridiplantae; Streptophyta; Magnoliopsida; Arecales; Arecaceae
Description: long non-coding RNA (EGUI_LNC078668)
Source: RNAcentral
CUCCCACUUAGUUUAAAGCCAAUCGAUGCAGCAUCUAAUACCCAUCUUCGACUUGUAGUUGUCGAACUCCUUCACUGUAAUGGCUUUAGUGAAUGGAUCAGCCAGGUUCUUCUUUCCGUCGAUCUUUUUAAGAUCGACGUCAUCUCGAUCCAUAAUUUCUCGGAUGAGAUGAUAGUCAUGAUUCAUGCCUUUUUUUUUUU